Molecule: long non-coding RNA, 1030 nt
Filed under: Bemisia tabaci
Lineage: Eukaryota; Metazoa; Arthropoda; Insecta; Hemiptera; Aleyrodidae
Description: lncRNA ENSSSA1NGG008548
Source: RNAcentral
CACGAUAGGUAAACUGCCGUGCUAAGGAAAAACGCCGUAUGAGCCUUCAGGCGUUGCCAAAUUUCCUUAGGCAAAUCAUUAAUUUUCAGGAAAAUUUUUGAAUAUUUUUCUGCCAAUUUCUCAGAUAAUUUUGUUUGUAAUUUGAUCUAAAGUGUCUGAAAAUUUCAAGAAAAAACAUUCACAAUUUUCCUCAAAAAUAUACAUUUUAUCGUAGGAAAUUUGGCAACUCUCGAAUGUUCAUAAGGCGUUCUUCCUUAGCACGGCGGUAAAGUUGUGUGGCGUUUUUUCCAAGGUGAUGCGCGGCACCCGAUCCGAUAACCCGUGAAUUGUCUUUAAAUGGUCAACGCUCCUCCCGCCAUGCCCUCGGUUUUCAAGGGUGCCCCCCCCCCCUUCGGCUCGAUCCAAAAAAAAUUACCUCUGCCAUUGGAAAAAGUUCAAAUUCAAAACACGCUCAUUACGCUAACCUUCCCCUGCCUCGUUCUCCUCAGCGCAUACCCACGCGUCUUCACUUGCCGCAAUUAAUGCCGCUUGCAAUUAGCUAAUCUCGUUCGCACGUAUUUAAUGGCCGUGAGACUUUAUACAGUUAGCCGAUACGGGUUUAAUGGUCGAGCAGAAACAUGGCAAACUGGAAACUGGGAAAUCUGAGGGAAUUUUCCAAGACCCGGGAAUAUCUGUGGAAAUCAAAGAGCCUCAAUUGUAAAGGAAAAAAAACACUGGAAAAAAAAGUCGCUUGGAACUAGAGUCCAGACUCUUGAAAACAUUGACAAGAAAAAAUACUCUUAAUUCAAUCGGAUUUUAGCUUGAAUUAAAAGGAAAUCCGCUUAAAUUAAGAGGCUUGGUUCUUGAUUUAAGCAAAAAUCCGAUUUGAAUCAAGAGUAUUUUAUCUUGUCAAUGUUUUUAAGAGUCUGGACUCUAGUUCCAAGCUACUUUUUUUUCCAGUGAAGCUGUCAACUAUCGGAAAAUGUUUGACUUUCUUCACGGCUCAAACCGCAGCACAAUUUAGGAGUGCGGAGAGUUCCUGAGGGCCUUU